Molecule: non-coding RNA, 1838 nt
Organism: Labrus bergylta (ballan wrasse)
Lineage: Eukaryota; Metazoa; Chordata; Actinopteri; Labriformes; Labridae
Source: RefSeq, a predicted model, not a curated record
AGAAGAUAUCACCCUGUUCAACUAUUGAUAUGUUGAAAUGAGCCUCAGUGACUCUACACUGCCACCUGCUGCUCAACAGAGACAAAACACAACAUGUUACAAAACAGGAACCAGAAUCUGAUCUCAGCUCACAUUUCAAAAUAUUCAACUACAACAUAUGCUUACUCUGUUAUUUGUUAUGAAAAUGAUGGAAAAGCAAUUUCCAUAAAUGUCUGCAUUUUAAGUUUUGUAUACAGAUAAACACAUUUCAGGAUUGAUUUAAUCCUGCUUUUAGGGUUUAAAUGGAGAAUCAGUAAGAAAAAUAAGAUCACCACUGAAUCAUAGGAUUGUAUGGAUGAAGUUCUUCUGCUGACCUAGCUGCUUUGAUUCAGAGGUUGAAGUCUGGGUGAUCUGCAGGCAGCUUUAUGACCUUUGACCUCUGCAGGUAUGGCCUGAAGAAUACAUGAAAAUGUUUCUCUCUGACUGCUUGUUGAUGAGGGUCAGAUGGACUGAUGUAGACCCUGUUGCUCUACAGUAACAGAUAUCAUAGACAGUGAUUCCUCUGUAUGACUCAGCUCGAGGGUUUAGACACUUACCUGUUGUCUACAGUUUGAGAGGAAGCAGGCUGGAAACCAAAACUUAAAGGUAUCGCUCCUACGAGUGAAGAACAUGAACUGAGUCCAGAAUCCUUAGUUCAGCACCGUCUAUGAAAACAAACAUCAAGCGUUAGUUAUGUGUUUGUAGAGGUCUUUCUUUCAGGUAAAGUACAAACUGCACAUACAAAACCUUUCACAAUCAACAAAAAUGUUGAAAGUUAGAAGCAGCUUCUUGAUGAUAUCUGACAUGCAGACAUUUUCCAGCCUAUUUGUUCACAUUGAUUUGGAUAUAUUGUGUGCACUUUUAUUGUUUGCUUUAUUACAAAGGCCAUCAAAUGUCUCCUGAGGGAGAAUGAACUCUUAAUUCUAUUCAUUAUAAUGCCUCCUCAUAAAAACAUGAAAUAACAUCCUCUUAAAUAACAAAACUUGUUUUUAACUUAGGUCAAAUAAAAACAUACCGUAUUCAUUUUCAUGUUAUAUUUUUACCCAUGCAUAACGCCACCUGCUGUCUCAGAGUAAGUAGUGAAUGGUUCACAUCAUGGCAGCCCUCCCUUCUCCAUUUGUGUGUAGUUUGUCAUUCCCUGUCUGUCUGAUCCUCAUGUUUCUCUCCCCUGUCUGUUGUCCUGUGUGAGUGUGGUGGGCGUGGCUUUCUCUUCACAGGCAGCUCCAGGUGAAUCUCAUUUCAUGAUCAGGACUCACUCCAUAAAGACUUCUCUCUGCACUCUGCUAGACACCAGAUUGUUUCAUCAGCUCGUGUGGUAUCAUGGCCUUACUUGCAUUGUGCUCCUGUGCUCUCUUCACUGCUUGCCUGCCAUUUGCUCUCCUGUGCACCUUUUGGACGACAAACUGGGAUUCACAGAACACUGCCACAGUCACUCGUCUACUCACCUGCCACGUUGGAUCCUGGGACACUGCACUAGCCCUCCCAGGACUGCCCCUGGUCAGGGUGAGGCCCUAAGCAAAAUGUGUUAAGGAGGCCCCCCCACGGGCCAACACACAGUUAUUGGAGCACCUAAAUAACAAGUCCAUUACAAAAUGUCUUUUUAACUUAACAACCUUUAUUUGUAAGAACAAAUUGUAACUUUGACAAUGGUGGUAAUGUGCAGGAUGCUGCGUCUGUACAACUGCUGUGUGAUGUGUCUAUACUAGACCUGCUGGUUGCUGCCUCUGGGCCUGCUGAUGACUCAUCUGCAUCUCCUCCACACAUUUUAGCAUUGACCCUGUUAUGAGAAGAAAUCUGAAAUAAAACCAUCUUAAAGCAGA